Molecule: ribosomal RNA, 495 nt
Filed under: uncultured bacterium
Lineage: Bacteria
Description: partial 16S ribosomal RNA
Rfam family: Bacterial small subunit ribosomal RNA
Source: RNAcentral
GAUGAACGCUGGCGGCGUGCCUAAUACAUGCAAGUAGAACGCUGAAGGAGGAGCUUGCUCUUCUGGAUGAGUUGCGAACGGGUGAGUAACGCGUAGGUAACCUGCCUGGUAGCGGGGGAUAACUAUUGGAAACGAUAGCUAAUACCGCAUGACAACAGUUAUUGCAUGAUAACUGUUUAAAAGGGGCAACUGCUCCACUACCAGAUGGACCUGCGUUGUAUUAGCUAGUUGGUGAGGUAACGGCUCACCAAGGCGACGAUACAUAGCCGACCUGAGAGGGUGAUCGGCCACACUGGGACUGAGACACGGCCCAGACUCCUACGGGAGGCAGCAGUAGGGAAUCUUCGGCAAUGGACGGAAGUCUGACCGAGCAACGCCGCGUGAGUGAAGAAGGUUUUCGGAUCGUAAAGCUCUGUUGUAAGAGAAGAACGAGUGUGAGAGUGGAAAGUUCACACUGUGACGGUAUCUUACCAGAAGGGGACGGCUAACUACGUG